CCUACGGGUGGCUGCAGUCGAGAAUCUUCGGCAAUGGGCGAAAGCCUGACCGAGCGACGCCGCGUGCGGGAUGAAGGCCCUCGGGUUGUAAACCGCUGUCAGUAGGGAGCAAAUCUCUUGGGGUUAUCCCCUUGAGUUGAGCGAUCUUCAGAGGAAGUACGGGCUAAGUUCGUGCCAGCAGCCGCGGUAAGACGAACCGUACGAACGUUAUUCGGAAUCACUGGGCUUAAAGAGUCCGUAGGCGGCCGUGUAGGUGGGAUGUGAAAGCCCUCGUCUCAACCGAGGAAUUGCGUUCCAAACCACAUGGCUUGAGGAGGAUAGAGGUGAGCGGAACUGAUGGUGGAGCGGUGAAAUGCGUUGAUAUCAUCAGGAACACCAGAGGCGAAGGCGGCUCACUGGGUCCUUUCUGACGCUGAGGGACGAAAGCUAGGGGAGCAAAC
This 440-nucleotide ribosomal RNA is filed under the name uncultured bacterium. Its description in RNAcentral is "bacterial SSU rRNA". It matches the Rfam family "Bacterial small subunit ribosomal RNA", at positions 338 to 773 of the family's 1533-position model. The record is from RNAcentral.